CAGUCGCCGCGGGAAUACGAAGGGUGCAAGCGUUAAUCGGAAUUACUGGGCGUAAAGCGUGCGUAGGCGGUUUGUUAAGUCUGCUGUGAAAUCCCCGGGCUCAACCUGGGAAUGGCAGUGGAUACUGGCAAGCUAGAGUGUGUCAGAGGAUGGUGGAAUUCCCGGUGGAGCGGUGAAAUGCGUUGAGAUCGGAAAGAACACCAACGGCGAAAGCACUCUGCUGGGCCGACACUGACACUGAGAGACGAAAGCUAGGGGAGCAAAUGGGAUUAGAUACCCGAGUAGUCCCUGUCUCUUAUAC
Molecule: ribosomal RNA, 301 nt
Filed under: uncultured bacterium
Lineage: Bacteria
Description: partial 16S ribosomal RNA
Rfam family: Bacterial small subunit ribosomal RNA
Source: RNAcentral